UACGUAGGGUGCAAGCGUUAAUCGGAAUUACUGGGCGUAAAGCGUGCGCAGGCGGUGAUGUAAGACAGGUGUGAAAUCCCCGGGCUUAACCUGGGAACUGCAUUUGUGACUGCAUCGCUGGAGUGCGGCAGAGGGGGGUGGAAUUCCACGUGUAGCAGUGAAAUGCGUAGAGAUGUGGAGGAACACCGAUGGCGAAGGCAGCCCCCUGGGCUAACACUGACGCUCAUGCACGAAAGCGUGGGGAGCAAACAGG
Molecule: ribosomal RNA, 253 nt
Filed under: uncultured bacterium
Lineage: Bacteria
Description: partial 16S ribosomal RNA
Rfam family: Bacterial small subunit ribosomal RNA
Source: RNAcentral